RNAcentral lists this long non-coding RNA (3539 nucleotides) under Callithrix jacchus (white-tufted-ear marmoset). Its description in RNAcentral is "lncRNA (ENSCJAG00000065651.2)". The record is from RNAcentral. Lineage: Eukaryota; Metazoa; Chordata; Mammalia; Primates; Cebidae.
AGAAAUUUUAAAAGCAAACAAUAAAUAUAAAUAUGAUAACAAAGGAAUAACAAAUCAACAGUAUGUUUCUUUUUUUUAUUGCAUUUUAGGUUUUGGGGUACAUGUGCAGAACAUGCAAGACAGUUGCAUAGGUACACACAUGGCAGUGUGUUUUGCUUGCUUUCUCCCCUUCACCCACAUUUGGCAUUUCUCCCCAGGCUAUCCCUCCCCACCUCCCCCUCCCACUGGCCCUCCCCUUUUCCCCCCAAUAGACCCCAGUGUUUAGUACUCCCCUCCCUGGGUCCAUGUGUUCUCAUUUUUCCUCACCCGCCUAUAAGUGAGAAUAUGCGGUGUUUCAUUUUCUGUUCUUGUGUCAGUUUGCUGAGAAUGAUGUUCUCCAGAUUCAUCCAUGUCCCUACAAAUGACACAAACUCAUCAUUUCUGAUUGCUGCAUAAUAUUCCAGGGUGUAUAUGUGCCACAUUUUCCCAAUCCAGUCUAUCAUCAAUGGGCAUUUGGGUUGAUUCCAGGUCUUUGCUAUUGUAAACAGUGCUGCAGUGAACAUUCGUGUGCAUGUGUCCUUAUAAUAGAACGAUUUAUAGUCCUUUGGAUAUAUACCCAGUAAUGGGAUUGCUGGAUCAAAUGGAAUUUCUAUUUCUAAGGCCUUGAGGAAUCGCCACACUGUCUUCCACAAUGGUUGAACUAAUUUAUACUCCCACCAACAGUGUAAAAGUGUUCCUUUUUCUCCACAUCCUCUCCAGCAUCUGUUGUCUCCAGAUUUUUUAAUGAUCGCCAUUCUAACUGGCGUGAGAUGGUAUCUCAAUGUGGUUUUGAUUUGCCUCUCUUAUGACCAGUGACGAUGAGCAUUUUUUCAUGUUUGUUGGCCUCAUGUAUGUCUUCUUUUGUAAAGUGUCUGUUCAUAUCCUUUGUUUUUUUCCUGUAAAUCUGUUUGAGUUUUUUGUAAAUUCUGGAUAUCAGCCCUUUGUCAGAUGGGUACACUGCAAAAAUGUUUUCCCAUUCUAUUGGCUGCUGAUUCACUCUAGUGACUGUUUCUUUUGCUGUGCAGAAGCUGUGGAGUUUGAUUAGGUCCCAUUUGUCUAUUUUGGCUUUUGUUGCCAAUGCUUUUGGUGUUUUGGUCAUGAAAUCCUUGCCUACUCCUAUGUCCUGAAUGGUUUUGCCUAGAUUUUCUUCUAGGGUUUUUAUGGUGCCUGGUCUUAUGUUUAAGUCUUUAAUCCAUCUGGAGUUAAUUUUAGUGUGAGGCGUCAGGAAGGGGUCCAGUUUCUGCUUUCUGCACAUGGCUAGCCAGUUUUCCCAAUACCAUUUAUUAAACAGGGAAUCCUUUCCCCAUUGCUUGUUUUUGUCAGGUUUACCAAAGAUUGUAUGGUUGUAGAUAUGUUGUGUUGCCUCUGAUGCCUCUGUUCUGUUCCAUUGGUCUAUAUCUCUGUUUUGGUACCAGUACCAUCCUGUUUUGAUUACUGUAGCCUUGUAGUAUAGUUUUUAGUCCAGUAGUGUGAUGCCUCCCGCUGUGUUCUUUUUGCUUAGAAUUGACUUGGCUAUGCGGGCUCGCUUUUGGUUCCAUAUGCAGUUCAUGGUGGCUUUUUCCAGUUCUGUGAAGAAAGUCAAUGGUAGCUUGAUGGGGAUAGCGUUUAAUCUAUAAAUUACUUUGGGCAGUAUAGCCAUUUUCACGAUAUUGAUUCUUCCUAACCAUGAACAUGGAAUGUUUCUCCAUCUGUUUGUGUCCUCUCUUAUUUCGUUGAGCAGUGGAUUGUAGUUUUCCUUGAAGAGGUCCCUUACGUUCCUUGUGAGUUGUAUUCCUAGGUAUUUUAUUCUUUUUGUGGCAAUUGUGAAUGGCAGUUUGUUCUUGAUUUGGCUUUCUUUAAGUCUGUUAUUGGUGUAGAGGAAUGCUUGUGAUUUUUGCACAUUGAUUUUAUAUCCUGAGACUUUGCUGAAGUUCCUUAUCAGUUUCAGGAGUUUUUGGGCUGAGACAAUGGGGUCUUCUAGGUAUACUAUCAUGUCGUCUGCAAAUAGAGACAAUUUGGCUUCCUCCUUUCCUAUUUGUAUAUCCUUUAUUUCGUUUCCUUGCCUGAUUGCUCCGGCUAGAACUUCCAGUACUAUAUUGAAUAGGAGUGGUGAGAGAGGGCAUCCUUGUCUAGUGCUGGAUUUCAAAGGGAAUGCUUCCAGUUUUUGCCCAUUCAGUAUGAUUUUGGCAUUGGUUUGUCAUAAAUAGCUUUUAUUAUUUUGAGAAACGUUCUGUCAAUACCGAAUUUAUUGAGGGGUUUUAGCAUAAAAGGCUGUUGAAUUUUGUCAAAGGCCUUCUCUGUGUCAAUUGAGAUAAUCAUGUGAUUUUUGUUUUGGGUUCUGUUUAUGUGGUGAACUACGUUUAUAGACUUGCGUAUGUUGAACCAGCCUUGCAUCCCCUGGAUGAAUCCUACUUGAUCAUGAUGGAUAAGCUUUUUGAUGUGCUGUUGCAAUCAGCUUGCCAAUAUUUUAUUGAAGAUUUUUGCAUCUAUGUUCAUCAUGGAUAUUGGCCUGAAGUUUUCUUUUCUUGUUGAGUCUCUGCCGGGUUUUGGUAUCAGGAUGAUGUUGGUCUCGUAAAAUGAAUUGGGAAAGAUUCCCUCUUUUUGGAUUAUUUGGAAUAGUUUCAGAAGGAAUGGUGCCAGCUCCUCUUUGUGUGUCUGGUAGAAUUCGGCUGUGAACCCAUCUGGACCUGGGCUUUUUUUAUGUGAUAUGUUCUUAAUUGCUGCCUCGACUUCAACCUUGUUAUUGGUCUAUUCAUACUUUCGGCUUCCUCCUGGUUUAGGCUUGGGAGGACACAGGUGUCCAGGAAUUUAUUUAUUUCUUCCAGGUUUACUACUUUAUGUGCAUAGAGUUGUUUGUAAUAUUCUCUGAUGAUGGUUUGAAUUUCUUUGGAAUCUGUGGUGAUUUUCCCUUUAUCGUUUUUUAUUGCAUCUAUUUGGUUGUUCUCUCUUUUCUUUUUUAUCAGUCUGGCUAGUGGUCUGUCUAUUUUGUUGAUCUUUUAAAAAAAACAUCUCCUGGAUUUAUUGAUUUUUUGAAGGGUUUUUUGUGUCUCUAUCUCCUUCAGUUCUGCUCUGAUCUUAGUUAUUUCUUGUCUUCUGCUAGAUUUUGAGUUUUUUUUAUCUUGCUCCUCUAGCUCUUUCAAUUUUGAUGAUAGGGUGUCAAUUUUGGGUCUCUCCUUUCUUCUCAUGUGGGUACUUAUUGCUAUAUAUUUUCCUCUAGAGACUGCUUUAAAUGUGUCCCAGAGAUUCUGGCAUGUUGUGUCUUCGUUCUCAUUGGUUUUCAAGAACUUCUUUAUUUUUUGCCAUCAUUUCAUUGUUUAUCCAGUCAACAUUCAAGAGCCAGUUGUUCAGUUUCCAUGAAGCUGUGCAGUUCUCAGUUAGUUUCUGAAUUCUGAGUUCUAACUUGAUUGUGCUGUGGUCUGAGAGACUGUUUGUUAUGAUUUCCGUUUUUUUGCAUUUGCCAAGGAGUGAUUUACUUCCAAUUAUGUGGUCAAUUUUAGAGUAGGUGUGAUGUGGUGCUGAGAAGAAUGUAUAUUCUGUGGAUU